CAAUGAUUAAGGCCCGAUUGUACAUUGGCGGCUUAAGCUAUGGCUUAGUUGAACCGGGUUCAAUUUUGAGCGUCGGUUUAACUUCAUUCGGGUUGUUCAAUGCCGAGUUCAGUUAAGCCGAGGUUCAUACAAAUUUUGGUAAGGUUGGCAACGUAAGGCAUGCGUAUUCAAAGCAAUUCCCGUCAAUUCUCGACAUAAAUUUUCCCGCCAUUUAUGUAUUAUUAUUUGGUUUUUGUCAAUAUAAUUCUUUUAUUACUGUUAUUAGUUUAAUCGGUAUUUUCUAUCGUUUAGUUUAUCAGUUUAAUCAAUUUCCUACGUUAAAUUUGUGAACAGACCAUUUGAAUAGCUUGUGAUGAAGGAUUGCGUAAGGGUGUUAUCAGGUUUUCUUGACUCCGUAACCACUAUCACCAAAGAAGAUACUAAUUCAAUCUUCACAUUCUCUUCUCAUAAAUAUUUAACUGUUUACAGCUAUGAUUUCAAAUUCACUCAAAAAUGUUAAUAUUUGCCUUAUUCUAGGGAAGUAGUUAGGUAAUUUAAAUAAUUUUAGAAGGUAAAUUAGUUUGUAAUUAUUAUUAAAUAAAGUGAUAAUAUGUACCUACAUAAGCAUGGUACAAAUAUAAUUAAUUUAAGAUUUAUUAAUAAAUUAUGUACAUCUAAUUUAAUAAAUUAACAAAAUCGUUUUCUACAUUUGCUUCAAAAUCAUUCACAAGUUGCAAAAAGGAGCCUGUUGCUUAAAACCAGUGAUAUGGGCCCACUUCACUGCACAAAACCUUAAUUUAAGGCAAUAAAAACAAUGUUCUUAGAAGAUACAGCUUGGUUCUUGAAAUGUCAAUAACAAAUUUGCCACUUGUUUUCGUUCUCGUUCUUACCUAUCUGUUCGAUUUUUUAUUCUAUGAGCAAUACUAGUUUCAUACAAAUAGUGAACAGUGAACAGAUAUCCAAAAUCUUU
This is a long non-coding RNA of Diabrotica virgifera virgifera (western corn rootworm), 949 nucleotides long. RefSeq lists it as uncharacterized. Lineage: Eukaryota; Metazoa; Arthropoda; Insecta; Coleoptera; Chrysomelidae. The record is from RefSeq and is a predicted model, not a curated record. The transcript is spliced from 2 exons.